UUGGAGUUUGUUGCCUAGAGUGAUGGGCUCCGAAGCUAACGCGAUAAAUCGACCGCCUGGGGAGUACGGCCGCAAGGUUAAAACUCAAAUGAAUUGACGGGGGCCCGCACAAGCGGUGGAGCAUGUGGUUUAAUUCGAUGCAACGCGAAGAACCUUACCUGGUCUUGACAUCCACAGAAUCUUGCAGAGAUGCGGGAGUGCCUUCGGGAACUGUGAGACAGGUGCUGCAUGGCUGUCGUCAGCUCGUGUUGUGAAAUGUUGGGUUAAGUCCCGCAACGAGCGCAACCCUUAUCCUUUGUUGCCAUCGGUUNGGCCGGGAACUCAAAGGAGACUGCCGUUGAUAAAGCGGAGGAAGGUGGGGACGACGUCAAGUCAUCAUGGCCCUUACGACCAGGGCUACACACGUGCUACAAUGGCGUAUACAAAGGGAGGCGACCUCGCGAGAGCAAGCGGACCUCAUAAAGUACGUCUAAGUCCGGAUUGGAGUCUGCAACUCGACUCCAUGAAGUCGGAAUCGCUAGUAAUCGUGAAUCAGAAUGUCACGGUGAAUACGUUCCCGGGCCU
RNAcentral lists this ribosomal RNA (564 nucleotides) under uncultured Gammaproteobacteria bacterium. RNAcentral's name for it is "bacterial SSU rRNA". It matches the Rfam family "Bacterial small subunit ribosomal RNA", at positions 817 to 1381 of the family's 1533-position model. Lineage: Bacteria; Pseudomonadati; Pseudomonadota; Gammaproteobacteria. The record is from RNAcentral.